GAUGAACGCUGGCGGCGUGCCUAAUACAUGCAAGUCGAGCGAACAGACGAGGAGCUUGCUCCUCUGAUGUUAGCGGCGGACGGGUGAGUAACACGUGGAUAACCUACCUAUAAGACUGGGAUAACUUCGGGAAACCGGAGCUAAUACCGGAUAACAUGUUGAACCGCAUGGUUCAACAGUGAAAGACGGUCUUGCUGUCACUUAUAGAUGGAUCCGCGCCGCAUUAGCUAGUUGGUAAGGUAACGGCUUACCAAGGCAACGAUGCGUAGCCGACCUGAGAGGGUGAUCGGCCACACUGGAACUAAGACACGGUCCAGACUACUACGGGAGGCAGCAGUAGGGAAUCUUCCGCAAUGGGCGAAAGCCUGACGGAGCAACGCCGCGUGAGUGAAGAAGGUCUUCGGAUCGUAAAACUCUGUUAUUAGGGAAGAACAAAUGUGUAAGUAACUAUGCACGUCUUGACGGUACCUAAUCAGAAAGCCACGGCUAACUACGUGCCAGCCGCCGCAGUAA
Molecule: ribosomal RNA, 513 nt
Filed under: uncultured bacterium
Lineage: Bacteria
Description: partial 16S ribosomal RNA
Rfam family: Bacterial small subunit ribosomal RNA
Source: RNAcentral